AAUAGCUCACUAGUCGAGUCGGCCCGCGCGGAAGAUGUAACGGGGCUCAAACUAGGAGCCGAAGCUGCGGAUUUGAACAUGUUUCAAGUGGUAGGGGAGCGUUGUGUAAGCCUGUGAAGGUGUGUCGUAAGGCAUGCUGGAGGUAUCACAAGAGCGAAUGCUGACGUGAGUAACGAUAAUGGGUGUGAAAAGCAUCCACGCCGGAAGAUCAAGGGUUCCAGUCCAACGUUAAUCGGGGCUGGGUGAGUCGACCCCUAAGGCGAGGCCGAAAGG
Molecule: ribosomal RNA, 273 nt
Filed under: Psychrobacter sanguinis
Lineage: Bacteria; Pseudomonadati; Pseudomonadota; Gammaproteobacteria; Moraxellales; Moraxellaceae
Description: partial 23S ribosomal RNA
Rfam family: Bacterial large subunit ribosomal RNA
Source: RNAcentral